This 272-nucleotide long non-coding RNA is filed under the name Pan troglodytes (chimpanzee). RNAcentral describes it as "long non-coding RNA NONPTRT007143". The record is from RNAcentral. Lineage: Eukaryota; Metazoa; Chordata; Mammalia; Primates; Hominidae.
AUCAUUUUCUCCUCCAUCCCUCUCCCAUAGAUGGACAUCAGAUGUCCAUCAUACUCCUAGGGCCUGGGGAGAUCUCAUGUUUCAGAAUUCCCUGGUUUCUGAAGCCUUUGAGGAGAGGGAAUUGUGUGCGUAAGACUCAGCUUUCUUUUUUCCUGAUGCAACUUUCAUUUUUUUUUCUGUCUUUCACCAACAGAUUCUACCACCUGUAGUUCAGCCAAGUCCAAGGUGCUUCGUGUGUGUCGGAUGAAUACACUGGACAAAAGAAAAAAAGG